This 642-nucleotide ribosomal RNA is filed under the name Tausonia pullulans. Its description in RNAcentral is "eukaryotic LSU rRNA". It matches the Rfam family "Eukaryotic large subunit ribosomal RNA", at positions 38 to 663 of the family's 3401-position model. The record is from RNAcentral. Lineage: Eukaryota; Fungi; Basidiomycota; Tremellomycetes; Cystofilobasidiales; Mrakiaceae.
GCAUAUCAAAAAGCGGAGGAAAAGAAACUAACAAGGAUUCCCCUAGUAACGGCGAGUGAAGCGGGAUGAGCUCAAAUUUAAAAUCUGGCGGUCUCAGAUCGUCCGAGUUGUAGUCUAGAGAAGCGUUUUCCGUGCUGGCCUGUGUACAAGUCCGUUGGAACACGGCGUCAUAGAGGGUGAGAAUCCCGUCCUUGACACAGAUCUCCAGUGCUUUGUGAUGCGCUCUCAAAGAGUCGAGUUGUUUGGGAAUGCAGCUCAAAAUGGGUGGUAAAUUCCAUCUAAAGCUAAAUAUUGGCGAGAAACCGAUAGCGAACAAGUACCGUGAGGGAAAGAUGAAAAGCACUUUGGAAAGAGAGUUAAACAGUACGUGAAAUUGUUGAAAGGGAAACGAUUGAAGUCAGUCAUGCUUUCCGAGACUCAGCCGGUUCUGCCGGUGUACUUCUCGGUUUGCAGGCCAGCAUCAGUUUUGGGCGGUGGAAAAGGUUGGCGGGAAUGUGGCAUCCUCGGAUGUGUUAUAGCCCGCUUUCGAAUACAUCGCCCGGGACUGAGGAACGCAGCACGCCUCUUGUAGGUCGGUCUUCGGACACGUCCGUGCUUAGGAUGCUGGCAUAAUGGCUUUAAACGACCCGUCUUGAAACCACG